UACGUAGGUGGCGAGCGUUGUCCGGAUUUACUGGGCGUAAAGGGAGCGUAGGCGGACUUUUAAGUGAGAUGUGAAAUACCCGGGCUCAACUUGGGUGCUGCAUUUCAAACUGGAAGUCUAGAGUGCAUGAGAGGAGAAUGGAAUUCCUAGUGUAGCGGUGAAAUGCGUAGAGAUUAGGAAGAACACCAGUGGCGAAGGCGAUUCUCUGGACUGUAACUGACGCUGAGGCUCGAAAGCGUGGGGAGCAAACAGGAUUAGAUACCCCCGUA
RNAcentral lists this ribosomal RNA (269 nucleotides) under uncultured prokaryote. RNAcentral's name for it is "partial 16S ribosomal RNA". It matches the Rfam family "Bacterial small subunit ribosomal RNA", at positions 524 to 792 of the family's 1533-position model. The record is from RNAcentral.